Long non-coding RNA from Cebus imitator (Panamanian white-faced capuchin), 3009 nucleotides. RefSeq lists it as uncharacterized. NCBI's taxonomy places the organism in Eukaryota, Metazoa, Chordata, Mammalia, Primates, Cebidae. The record is from RefSeq and is a predicted model, not a curated record. The transcript has 3 exons.
CGCCGAUGGCAGGGCUGCUGGGGAGAUUGCAGGCAGUGGCCCCAGAGGCUUCUGUCCCCCAGGGUCACUCAGCCGCCCAGCCACGUCUGACUGCCCAGGCUGGGGUGGGGACCGUGGCCAGGUGGCGUCCUCAUCCUGUUGCAGCCGGGUGUCUGGCCAGCUGUGUAGCAGGCUCCUCCCUGCACGGCCCUGGGGCACCCUAAGCUCCUUAGCAGCCUCUGGACAAAGGCGAUCCUCCUUCUGCAGCAGGAGUAGGGGUGGCGGUGGGCACUGGGAGCCAGGUGGGGGAGGGAGGUGGCGCACUCAGGCCUGCAGUGUCCCCUUCUCUGCCCGAGGAGGCCGAUGGGAUUGAAUGGUGGACUCUUGGGCUUCUGGAGUUCUGUGGCAUCAAAGACUUCCUUGGGAAUUCACUGAACUUUGUUUUGGGGACUUUAGAAUUAUCACAAAUACCACCAUCUCUGAAAAUCCCGAACGGGGACAGACAGCCCCUGUCAAAUUUAAACAUGAAUUCUGGCUCACAUAACUGAAGUCCAGUGUUGUGCAGCUGUCACCUCUAUCGAGUUCCAGAACAUUCUCAUCACCCCAAACAGAGAACUCCACACUAAUCACUAAUCAGUCGCUCCCUGUUCUGUUCUCACACUGUGAAUAAACACAUGCCUGACACUGAGUAAUUUCUAAUAGAAAAAGGUUUAAUUGAUUCACGGUUCAGCGUGGCUGGGGAGGCCUCAGGAAACUUGCAGUCCUGAUGGAAGGCGAAGCAAACACGCCCUUCUUCACAUGGCAGCAGCAAGGAAACGUGCAGAGCAAAAGUGGGGAAAGGCGCUUACAAAACUCUCGGGUCUCAUGAGAACUCUAUCACGAGAACAGGUUGUGGGGAAACCGCCCCCAUUAUUGAAUGACCUCCCUUGGUCUCUCCCACGACCGUGGGGAUUAUGGGAACUACAAUUCAGGAUGAGAUUUGGGCGGGGACACAGCCAAGCUGUGUUACUCCUCACUACCCCUCCUCCUUUUUCCUGGCAAACACUCGUCCAUUGUGUGGAUUCGCCUAUUCUGGACAUUUCAUAUAAGUGGAAUCGUACACUCUGCAGCCUCUUAUGUCUGGCUGCUUUCACUCAGCAGCAUAUUCUCGGGCUUCAUCCACGGUGUAGCCUGGGUCAGUGCUUCAAUCCUUUAAAAAAAAAAAAAAGAUGGGGUCUUGUUACGUUGCCCAGGCUGGUCUUGAACUCCUGGGCUCAAGCAAUCCUCCUGCCUCGGCCUCCAUGCCCGGCCCUUCACAUGGCAUUGUAUGGAUAUGCCACGUUUUACUUACCUGUUCAUCAGGUGAUGGACUGGCUUGUGCAGUUUUGCUGUGAAUCAAAGCUAAACCCGAAUCUUAAAGAAGAACCUGUUAAAGACAACAGCUGUUAUCCAUGGAGAGUUUAAAGGAAGUAAGUUUCCAGCAACUUUUCCGAGUGUCAAUAGUGGUUGCCAGCUGCUGCUUCUGCUGGUGCUGCCCAUUAGUCCUGGGGAUGGAAACUUACUUUUGGUUAGUGUUGCUUUGGGGCAUUAUUCCCAGGUUGGAUGAGUGGUUUGCUCUCAGUUUUGGGGUGGCCCGGUCCCCAGAGCCCCCCUUCCACAUCCUCGUCCUUGCUGUGCUCUCUCUCUUCUUGGUCCGGUUAGAAGCACGGAGAUGGGAUAGCGGAGAUGUUUCUUGUCGCUGGUAGUGCCGCCGGCCUCUGGGUGCCAUGCUUGCUGCUGCCAUUCGUCUUAAGAACCUCAAGAAAUGACAUGGGCUGCAGGGAGAGACCAGCCAAGCCCCCGAGGUGGACUGCAGUGAGGGGCUGGGCGGUGGCAUUGGGGCAUGGGUCUGACGUCAGUUGGCACAGAAGGGGUGUUGGGCACUUCGGGCAGCAGAGCCAGCCUGCGCAAAGGCCCGGGGGUGCCAGAUGCAUGAGCUGUCCGCGGCUUGCUGUGGGUGGGGUCGGGUGCCCGUGGCCCUGCUUGUGCUCCUGCCGGGGAGCAGUGAGCCCGCACCCCCUGACAUGCACACACACUUCCGAGGCUUUUUCCAGGGACUGCCUUUAAUUUCUGGAGGUCCUGCACUCUGGGUCCCUGGAAGGGGUGCUGCUUUGGUGUUUAUGCUCAGCCCCAUGGUUCUAUGGGGUGAACGGAUGUGUGGCUGGGACCCCAUUUCUGAUGUGGGCGCCCCUGCAGCCUCCCCCUUCCAGCACCUUCCAAGGUAGGGUGCUGAGUGCCUUCGGCAUGUCGUCAGACAGUAAUCCACUUCCCAUGGUGGUUGUGGCAGUUACAUGGAUUAAGACUUGCGAGUUGCUUAGAACAGGAGGCCAGCAAACUCCAGCAAGUUCCAAAUCUGGCCCUCAGCCUGUUUUUGUAAAUAAAGUUUUAUUGGCACACAGCCACGCCCAUUCAGUCCCCAUCACCUGUGGCUGCUUUUGCACUACAGUGGCAGGGGCAAGUAGAGGAGACAGACCUCGUGGCCCUCAAAGCUCGAGGUGUUUUUACCAUCUGGCCCUUUAUAGGAAAGUGUGAGGGCCUCUGGCAUCCAGCCCCCGUGGCCUCCAGGCUCCCGGUUUCCUCCUCUAAUGGAAAUGAAGCAGCAACUCCCUCGGAGGGCUGCGGUGGGGUCUGCUUCGUGGGGCGUGGGGAGCUCUGGGAUGCGCUGAGUCCCCGGGGGAGGUGGCCUGAGGAGCACAGAGGACUACGUCGGACGACUGAGACGUAUGAGCCCUUGUCUGCAUUUCCCUCGAGAAGUCCACACGUGUGGAGGGAGUCCCAGGUUGUCCAGGUGCCUGCUGUCCUUAUCCCCACAUCUCAGAUGGUAACAGAGGCCAGAGGCAAACCUAGUGUGACCCCAAGACUCCUGGCGCCUGUGGGCCUUGCUGGGGCUCUGUGGGUUGAGGGGAGGACGGAGGCCCUGAGGAUGUAGGAGUGGACAGAGGAUGACACAGCCUCUGCGAGUCCCAAGGUGGGGGGGACACCCGGUGGCCCCCGGGCUGCAGUUGUCCUGGG